RNAcentral lists this long non-coding RNA (34043 nucleotides) under Xyrichtys novacula (pearly razorfish). The record is from RNAcentral. Lineage: Eukaryota; Metazoa; Chordata; Actinopteri; Labriformes; Labridae.
CACAGUCAGUCAUGAGUCGCCAUUGGGUUCAGAUGUGGACAUGGACACUGUUUGUCUGCCUGAGUUGGAUAUGUGUGAAUCAAGCAGCGGCAAGGCCGUAAGUUUACUCAAAAUACUUUCAAAUUAAUCAGAUUCAAAUAUUUGUUGCAGCAAGCAGAGUUAAAAGACUUUAUUUUAUUUGCUCCAGUAUAAGAAACUCUGUCAAGAACUUGACCGUACUUAAAUGUUUUUCUCUCUGUGUGUAGGCAGUACAUGGUGGCCAUUCCUGCGAUCAUCGAAGCAGGAACUGAAACACCUCUCUGUGCAAGUCUCUUGAAGCCAAAUGAGACUCUGGUCAUGACCGUCACUUUAAGGUUCGGAGAUCAAAAUAUGACCCUAAUGGAGGAGACGUCCAGCCAGGCAUUUCACACCUGCAUUAAAUUUCAGGUCUGCUGAGUGAUUUUGCAAAUGUCCUCAAAAUUCUUGGAAAACUUGUAGAAGUGGUCGUUAAUUUAGCCUCCAAAUAAUAAAUCAUAGUUCUCUCCAUCAAUAAUCAUAAAGCAACAGUCUGUUGUUGUUAUUAUCAAUAUUGUAAAAACAUCAGUAUCCAAAGAUCAUAGGCUUUGUAAAAUAUUCUGAAAAAAAAAGGUCAAGAUUUUUCGUAAUCAUUGAAAACCUAUAAUGAACUGAAAAUGGUACAAGGACAACAUAUUCAAUGUUGAAACAGAUUUUUGUAGAUUAAAAAAUAUGUUUCUUUUUUAUUUGACAUUUUAGCUGGGGUCAUGUUUACCGUUGUGUUGCAUAACAACCUUUAACAAAACUGUGUAAAUGUUUGGGUACCAACUGACCAGUUACUGGAGUUUUGAAGGUGAAGUUUUUUCCCAUUCUUAGGAUCCCAGCUGCUCAACAGUUUGGCCUCUUUUUUUUCUGUGUAUUUCUGUGUUAUGAUGUGCCAAAUGUUUCAAACAAGUGCGAAGGCGGACUGUUGGCAGGCCAUUUUAUCACCUGGACUCUUUUGCUUUGCCUACGUGACCUGGCAUGUUUUUGCUGCAUUAUGAAAGGUCUCCCCUGAAAAAAAAACAUUGUCUGACAGCAUAUGCUGCUCCACCUUUGCAUCCCCUUACCAUCAGGGCUUCUAGCUUUAGAAGUUAGCUUGUGGUGGUCCAUCUCCUCUUUAGAGUGGAUUAUGCAGUGUCCAUGAUUGAUGGUAUGUUGCUGUUGUCCCAACCUUUUAGGAAUGAAAUGCUGGAAUCAAAUUUGAAAUGAGAGUACGACUAGGUGAUUUGCAAACCAUCCAAACCUGUGAAAGGACGGUCUUUCUCAAAGACCCUUGAGAUAAAGGGGAAUUUCUCUUUCUUUUUUAUAAGCUAGCAUUGAAGUGCCAGAUCAAUGUGGGAUCAGUUUGGAGCAUACAUCUUUGUUUUUGACUGGUUCACAUUUAAAAUACAGGAAGUCAUCAGGAGGUGUUUUGAAUGAGAGUAAGACAGAGCUAUUGUGCUUCACUCAAAAGGAUCUCAAAGUCACUUUGUGCCAAGUCAAAGUAAACACUCUGAAGUAAAAUCAGCAGCUCUAGACACAGUAAUAUUUACUUAAUACUAAAAAGUGACAGUUGCCAGCAGAAACGAGUUUUAGCGUGAGAUGCUUACAAAAGCCCAAAAUCAUAAUUACCCAUGAUAAUAAUUACAGAUAAUUAUUUUUCUAACUGCAUUAAAAUGAUCUUUUGUCCACAGCCCCCUCUUGUGCAGAGUCAAUUUCAGGUGUUGGUGGUGGAGGUUCGAGGACAAACAUUUUACUCAAAAGAUAUCAAAAAAGUCAUGAUCAAAACCUAUAAACCCAGAACAUUCAUCCAAACAGAUAAACCGGUCUACCUCCCGGGACAAACAGGUAAUUUUGACAUGGGUAGUAUUUCAGUCUGUUACAUGUGUUUUUUUAAGAAUCUAUUAAUUUUGAGUAUCUCUUUGGACUGAAUUAAAAUCAACAUUUUUUAAGAUUAGAGUGUAAUUUUUUCUAUAAUCCCAAAAAACAUUAACCCUGUAUUCUAUCUUUGUGUCUUGAUGUGUAUGAAAUGCUCAAGCGGUGACCUCCCCAUGAUUAAAAAAUGAAGCCAUCGUGAAAGUGCAAAAACCUGCAGUUUCUCAGAAGUCCACAAACCAUUAAAUCCCCACUAGAGCCACGAUAAAAUGUUUGGUGUCAAUAAUACAUAUCCCAAUAAAGAGGUUAGAUCAUUGUUCUGAAAUUAUUGUCCUUGUGAUAGGCAUGCUGUGUGUGUGUGGUGUGCUCUCAUUUCCAGAUCUAUAAUCCUAAUGGAGAGUAUUUCAACUCAUUGACUCUACAGGCUCAUUUAUCACCAUGAGCUGCUAGAUUCGUAAUAUUAACCAAUUUUCACAUGUUUUAAAUUAUUAUUCCAAAAGAGAAAUCUUCUUAUGCUUAUUUCCCUUCAUGAUAUACCUCCUUGAUGCCUGUGGAGGUUUGUCAGAGUGGAUAAACUUUAAGAGGUGCAAGUAAUCAUUUUGUAUUCUUCAGUGCAUUUCAGAGUCGUCUCACUGGACAGCAAGUUGAGACCUGCCAAUCUCUUAGUGAGUAUUUUGAAAUCCUUUCCUUCCUUUGAUAAUUUUUUUUUAAUUGGAUGCAGACAGAAUAAAUCUUAGUAUAUUUCAGUGGAUUUAAAUUAGGAGUUAAGUUGCUGCAUUUUCACGUAAUGAGUAUCUUGAUGGCUAUCCAGAAUACAACUGGGCUGUUCUCGAUUUGCCCACUGUGCAAUCUAUUCUUCAAAUAAUGAACCUCAACACAACAGUUUUCUGUUUCUAUAAAAAUAGAGACAAAAAUGUCCUUUAACAUAUUUCUCUACAUUUCCUCUUUUUUCAGUACAAAGUCAUUGAAAUUGCGGUAAGACACACCAUUUAUUUUUCAGUGCAGAUUCAAACUGGUAAAGCUUUCUUUGAGUGCCUUGAAAGAAGAUGAAUUUUUAAACUGAUGAUUUUCAAAAAGUCAAUUUUUCUCAAAUGUGUGGCCCAGUUUCACUUAACAUUUAGGAGGAAAGAGGGUAGCAAAAAUUUAACAUCAGUUUCACCUUUAUGUCAUGCAAACAGGAUUCUCAAGGUAACAGAAUUGGACAGUGGCUGAAAAAAAGCUCAAAUGGCAAAAUAUUGCAGCUGUCUUACUCACUGAACUCAGAGGCUCGUGAAGGAACCUAUAAGGUGGUUGUGCAAAUUGAAGGAGAGAAAAUUGAACACAGUUUUAAGGUGGAGAAAUACGGUAAGUUACUGUAAAUCAUAGAACCUUUCACUGAAAGAUGUUUGCAGUGAAGCAGCACUGUUGAAAAAUGUAACUUCAUUCACAGUUUUGCCAAGAUUUGAAGUAAAAAUUGAAGCUGCUGAGACAAUUAGUAUCGUGCAAGACAUUGAAGCUCAAAUAUGUGCAAAGUAAGUCCAAACUCUGUCACUCCUUCACUCUUGAAUAAUCAAAACUGAAUUAAAACAUUUAAUAACUUUUUUUAGGUAACAGGUGUGAAACAGAGUUCUUAAUUUCUUUUUUUCUGUUAAUCAGUUUCUGAACACUUUCACAUCCUGUACCAUGUUGAAUGUUUACUUCAUGCACCACCUUUAAUUGUACAGUUUAUGUGUCUUUACCCUUCCCAGCAUUUUCUUAGCUGUUGUCUCUUUUGUCCUUUUCCCACCAUUAAGACCUGACAGACCACAAAACAACAGGACUUCUUUCUGUGCAUUGAUAUGAUUGCAGCUGGUUUAUCAGUCUUUGAUUUGAGCUGUCUUUGUGGCUUGAAGAUACAAGCUGCUACCAAUCCCCAAAAACUUCAUGUUUGACCAACAUUUUGUUUUCUUUACCCAUGUAGGUAUACAUAUGGACAGCCUGUGCUGGGAAAUGUUACAAUUGAGUUACAAAGACCUCUUAGUGACUAUCAAAGAUUCCGUUCAUCAAUUUCUGAUCCAACUGCUCCAGUCCACAAGGAGAUGAAACAGGUACAGCUGCUCUUCUUUCUGCUGGAGAAAGAGGUUAAACCUAAGACUGGUCACCAUUUAGCAACAAAGACCACCUUUUAGGGCUGUUUAAAUAUUGCUUUGACAUUAUUUUUGACCACACUUAAAACAGAUAGUUCACUUGACUUAUCAUUGGAGUCAACUGAACUCUGGUCAUCUUUGAGCCAAGAGUUCAGCAGCUCCAACAUGGUGCACCUCAUCAUCAAACUCAUGGUUUUCAGUUGCCUGUUUCUUCCAACUUUUAACUAAGAAUUACUGUUGUUGUGCUUCUGCCUCUCCUUACUCUUGCACUCAGCAUAUGCAGAUGGUGGAUAUAUGGAUAUAGAUGGAUACAGUUAUAGGUCUGAUGCUCUUAUUAAUAUGAGCCAGAUGUGAGUGCUGCAGGAAACAAUAAUAUUGUUAUUCCCUUUCAGUCAAUUCACUUGGUACAACACAUAACCACGCCCCUCUGUGGCCUGACUGAAGACACCUUUAUUCUCGCCUUUACGGCAGAUGAUCUGUAGUGACUUCUGUGAGGCCCUGCCUGCACAUAUAUACGUCCAACACAUAGACUGUAUAUAAGAUGGACACCGUGGUUCCGCCUUCUGCCUCCAUACGGCUUUGAAGCCAAAAAGCUCUCAGUAAUUCCGGGUUUUUCUCCGCUUCCUUGAAACCAGAGCUGUGCAGCAUUGUGCGCAUUCGGCCGCGCAGUCGCCGAGAGUCCCUGUGAUGACGCUCGGUUCAAACAGCGUAUCCCCUCGGGAGAGCUACGGAAUCCCUGAACGCCCAUAGGCUGUACCAGGUGUCAAUCAUUGAAAACAUGAACCCCCUAAUAACUUUUAAAAACGGGGCUGUACAGAAAAAAAAGCACUUGGGCACAAACCAGUCUUACUGUAACUAUAUGUCAACAUCACAACCAGGGGGGAGAAAAAAUUAUGUUCUGUGUAAUAAAUUUCUAAAGUUUGUCCACAGUCCCAUAAGCUUUGCUGGUGGAGGCGGGAUUUAUGACCUGUACUGCAGCCCACCAUCAGAGGGUGCUGUUCUCGGAGUGGCUUCACCCAGCGAGGCGGCAGACUCUGUCCAUCUAAUAUACAGUCUAUGGUCCAACACCACAGUCAUCCUUCACUUCUUAUGCUCCUUACCUCGAUGAGAAUACCUCCACCGAGUCUGGCUAACUAGCUGCUGUUUGUAAGCUUGGUCUUGAUAGUUGCUACUGCUGGUUCAAAGUUAUCACAAGUGUCCCUGUUGGUGUUAGCCGCUGGAUACCCACAGAGUACUAACUUCAUUCACUUCAGUUUUUGUGUCUCAGAGCCCAGGAAAGUGAAGAGGAAGUCUUUUGUUUGGCCAUGUCUUCAGGAAAGCAUAGACUGAGCCUGAGUCGUGUGAGUCCUGUCACCAGCUUCAGAGCUCAACCCUGGAAAGGUGGGUCAAGCUUGUGGAAAGAGAGCGUUAGGGAAUACCACUAUUACACUGCAUGACCCCCUCCUCUCUGAGUCCAGGCAACCGGCUUUGUCCGAGUCCGGUGGCAAAACUUCAUGGUCAAAGGCUUAGUUGGAAGGUAGGCAGACCAUAUGGAGUGUGCUGAUGGGUCAGCUGGAUUUGAGCCGGGCCCUCUGAGGGCGCUGGCCAGCUGCUCUCUGGGCUAGCCUGUUACCAGGAGGAGGAUGACGUGCUGGACAUCAGCCUGGAUGUGCAGAGUUUUUCGGAGGAUGUGCAGGAGCUACUGUCUCCAGGUACACCGCCACUGCUGGGCCGGUUGACCUAGACAACACAUCCUUCUUUUCACUGUACCGCCGUGCAGCUGGGUUUUAUCUUCCACUUGGGCUGAAGACUGUUAAGAACAGCCUUCCCAUGUUCCCGGAUUUUGUCAUGGACCUAGCAUCGACAUGGAACAAGCUGCUGUCCACCCGUGCCACAGUGGACAGUUUUUGGACCUGGAUGGAGCUGAAAAAGCUGGUUUGGUUAACCCUCUGCCUAUGGAGGUGUCCCUGGCAGCCUAUCUGGCCUGGAACUGAACUAUGAUGUUGGUGGCCCAAUCACACUCCUGUCCAAGCACUGCAGGUUCUCCGCGUCAAAGCUGGAGAAGAUAUACAGGACUCAGGGAAGUACGUCUUGUGCACUGAGGUCCGUCACCAUGCUUCAGACAUGCUAUCCCAUCUCCUUAACGAGGUUAGUGACACCACGGAUUAAAUCCCCUGAGUGUUCCGCUGUGCAGUGCUCUCUCUGGGUAGAGGCACGGCUUUCCGGCACUGCAUCAGCUACCCUUUUGGCUCUGAAGCAUUUUAAUCCCGUUCUGACAGGCUAUCAAGUUCUGAUCAGGACUGAUGACACGACUGUGGUUUCCUACAUAAACAAGCAGGGAGGGACACGCUCUCUUCCCCUGUUAAAACUGUCUCACUCUCUUUUGCUAUGGUGCAGUGCUCAUUUUCUGUUUCUCAGAGCCACACAUAUUCCAGGUCACUUAAACCUUGGGCUGGAUCUUCUCUCCAGGGGAGGGCCUCUUGUGAGACAGUGGAGAUUGCACUCACUAGUGGUGGCUCCGAUGUGGGACCGCUUCGGCAGGGCAGAAGUAGAUCUUUUUACCUCCAGAGCAAACACCCAUUGCCCCCUGUUCUUUUCCAUAUCAGACUGCAAUGCUCCCUUGGAAAUGGAUGCAUUAGCUCACACAUGGCCUAACAUGGUGCUAUAUGCAUUUUCCCCAGUGGAAAUGAAUGUCUGUUCUGGAGAGGGUGUGCCAGCAGGGGCUCUCCCUGAUUCUGGGUUCCCUGAGAUGAUCAGUCUGCUGGCAGCAAGACCCUGGAAGCUCCCUCUUUGAAGGGACCUCCUCUCCCAGGUGGGAGGAGAGGUGAUUCACCUGCGCCCAGAACUGUAGUGACUACAUGCCUAUCUGUUGAGAGGUCCAACCUAAUCGCUCAGGGUCUGACCCCAACUGUGGUGGCAACAAUCCAGACUGCAAGGAUAUCAUUUACUAGGGGCCUAUUUGCCUUCAAAUGGUGGAUGUUUGAGCAGUGGUGUCAGGACCGAACUGUACCCCCAUUCUAGUGUUCUGUUGUGGAUGUUUUAACAUUUCUUCAGGAGCUGCUGGAUAAGAGUCUCUCUUUCUAAACAAUUAAGGUCUAUUUGGCGGCUAUAUCUGCAUGCCAUGUUGGCUUUGAUGGUUUGACGCCAGGCCUCUUGCUAUGGGCUUCCUAAAGGAAGUCAGCAGGCUUGAACCUGUGGUUAAACCCAGCAUUCCCUCAUGGGGUUUGCCGCUGGUGCUUGAGGCUCUUGGUGGACCCCCAUUUGAGCCUAAUGAGUCCACAGACAUGAAAUUACUUUCAUGCAAGACAGCGCUGCCACUGCUACUCUGACAUCUGCAAAGCAAGUGGGCGACCUUCAUGCAUUGUCUGUACAUCCCCCUUGUAUCCAGUUCACUCUGGAUGGAGCUAAGGUAACAUUGCGCCCAAAUGCGGCAUAAUUGCCUAAAAUUAUCCCCACAGUCUAUAGUUCUAUCAGUUUUUCUCUUUUAAGCUUUUGUCCCCUCUAUUUACAUCUGACAAGCAGAGGAGGUUGCAUCCUUUGUGCCCUGUGCGUGCACUACGCAAUUACAUAGACCGCACUCAGAGUGUGCGCUUAUGUGACCAGUUGUUUGUCUGUUUUGCUAAUCCAGCCAAGGGCAAGGCGCUGUCUAAACAGCAGCUUUCCCACUGGAUUGUGGAGGCUAUCUACCUAGCAUACAGCAGUAGGGGUCUUCCGUUGCCCCAAGGUGUGAGGGCACAUUCAGCCAGGGGCAUGGCGGCCUUAUGGGCCUUGUUUAAAGGGGUUUCUCUGAGAGAUAUCUGCACUGCAGCCAGUUGGUCAUCACUGCAAACUUUUGUUUGGUUUUAUUGUUUGGAUGUGACAGCCCCUUCAGUGGCUUACUCUGUCCUUUCUGCUGGGUCUGCGAUGCACCAAAGUUUUGGAGGUUUGACUCCGGUUCGGUGGCUGCUCUGCGAGGUGUGUAUGUAUGUCCCAUACUAUAUGUCAGGGGUCUUCAUAUAAAUUUUCAGUGGGUCCACCUGAAUGAAAUGCCUGCAGGCCUGGGUCCAGGGAUUUUUAUUUAUUUAUUUUUUUACAGUGCAUUACUCUUUUGAAAUAUUCACUUCAUUUGUAUUGCCAAUAACUGCCUACUUUCAAUUGGCUGUGUGCUUCCUGCGGGUAAAAUGAAUGCAAACGACUCUGUCCACUCGCCAUAAAACACCCUGUUCUCAUUCUCUACCUUUCGUGGUUUUUAAGCCGACAUGUUUAGCUGCUGCUACAACUUUCUCCUCAGUCUGCCGCCUGACAGUUUUCAACAUCGGGAUUGCUCGGUAAUCUUCGUGUGUCGAGUAGGCUAAAAGGUCUGAUUUGAUUGACAAGUCAAGCGAGUAAGCAAGUGAUGUAAUGCCUUGCUGAAAUUGCACGUGCAGUUUACUGAACCAGGCACAAAGCAAGAGAGUAAGGCUGCACGAUAUUGGAAAAAACUAACAUUGCGAUUUUUUUCAACCCUGCGAUAUAUAUUGCGAUAUUAAAAAUAUAGGAAUUUUCACCAGAUGACCUAAAUAGCAUUUAAUGUUAUACUGCACUGCUGAAGUCUUGAGGACAGUUAACCUGCACUGAUCUUACCUCUUUUUGUGGAUGUUAGAAUGGCUUCUGUCUGUCUCAGAGACAUUUUUAGCUUUUAUUGUGCUGGGAGUUAUUGUGGCGACAGAUGAACACAGAACACGUGUUUUGGUCGACAUCAUCCUUCUUUUAACCGAAAUAAUUCCAGAUAAUUGACUUUCCUUUUCUUUUUGGCAACAAAACUUAAUUUUCGGUGGUUUUCUCUUGUUCGUUGCUCAUUUUGCAAUCGUUGUUGUUGUUGUUAGCGGUGUUGUGCCGAGAAACGCAUGUCCUCCGAGAAUUGCAUGCAUCUCGCAAAACGCGCACCGCUUAUAGUAGAGUGGUCCACGGAAAUGUACAAUUUAAAACCCAUACAGUUCUUAUUUGUUGGGCUUAACAGUCAGUAAAGUUCCGAAAGUAAUUCUCAGCGGACACGCGUCUCACUCCAUGUGCAGAACAUGUGCAGGGGUGGGUUUCCUCCUCUCUGAUUUUGAUUGACAGCUGGCAGGGUAGUCUGAUUGGCAACUGAGAACUGAGUCUGAUUGGCAACUGAGUAAAGGACAAAGGUGAUUGGUGGAUCGCUGCACAGCACAUGCAGAGUCACAUGCAGUGUAUCUCAGUCAGCUACCCUUGAAAUUAACUGAGUUCAUUCACUUCCGACAUCGUAGGCUCUGCGAUGUGACUAUCGCACACACGUACAUCGUGCAGGCCUGCAAGAGAGAAAAAAACAUACAUUUUUCUGCGGUAGGCUCGGGUCCGUAUUGGACUCUUUCCCGGUCCGGAAGUGGACCGCGGUCCGCCAUAUGGAGACCACUGCUAUAUGUGUUGUGUUGAGUGAAUGGACUGAAAGGGAACGAAAUGUUAUGAAUAUAACUUCUGUUCCCUGAAGGAGAGGAACAAGGUACAACACUGGGUUGCGUCACCACUGAUCAUCUGCCGCAAAAAAAGGAAUAAAGGUGUCUUCAGUCAGGAAAUGCGGGGGCGUGAUAUCCCAUACUAUAUGUGUUGUACCUCGUUCCACUCCUUCAGGCAAAAGAAGUUAUAUUCAUAACAUUUUGUUAAAGCUUACUGUAUAGCCUGGAUUUGAUUUUAAUUUAUUUCAUCUAAUUGAACUUUCCAGACAGAUAAAAGUGGCUGUACUACCUUUGUCGUCAAGAUGUCCACUUUCACAAAACUUGACAAUACACUUGUGAAAGAUGCUCUGCAGCUCAAGGCCAGUGUGGAAGAAGAGGGGACAGGCAAGUCUUACUUUUACCUUUUUAAAAGGACAGUCAUGUCAUUGGAGAGGUACAAGUAUGAUAUAAUCCAAACUGAGCAGGUGGUUAUGCACAAAAGAAUCCAGACAAAGUGAGCAGGGAUCGAAUUCUGAUUUGCACAACCUGAUUUACAUAACCAUUCACUUAAUCCUGUGUGUUUCGUGCAGGUAUUUCACACCUAAAUCACAAGAAGAUGGAGAUAUCCUAUGUCAUUGGAAAGUUUAUCUUUAUUGAGGCCCCCAAGAUUUAUGAGCGAGGAUCAAACGUAGAGGGAAAAGUAAGUUCCAGCGCUCACCACUUUCUAAUUAGAUCCUUCACACAUUUCUACCUUGAGCUCUUUGUCAUUAAACUUUGUGCUGUUUACAGGUCAAAGCAGUUAAUUAUGAUAACACACCUAUCCCCAACAAACCGGUGUACCUGCUUAAUAGUCUACGGUCCACAGAUGUGCUGCAGAAUGUAACUACUGACAACGAGGGUAUUGCCACUUUCUCGAUUAGCACAGCUGAGUUUCAUGGGGAUAUCGACCUUGUGGUAAGUGGAAAUGGAGACUUCUUCAUGUAUUUGUUUCUCUGGGUUUAUAGCUCUGAAAAACUGCUGCUGUAAAUCCACAAUCCACAGUUACCCUGUCAACAGAUUCUAUGAUGUACAAAUUACUGAUAUAUUGUGAAAUUGAUUUUUAUUUUUUCAUCUUGGUUUAACUUAAUUUUCAGCGCUAAAUGCCUGAGACUAUCUGGCAGACACAGUUAUUUCUGUGAUAUUACAGUUAUUACAGCUCAGUCUUCCCCUUUUAUAGCCAACACAGACUAUUUUUACCAUGUAAACAUAUUGGGUCUCAUUUGUGUUUCUAAGCACAACUAAAUCUUUGCAAACCAUGUCCAAAUUCUUGUUUUCAGUCCAUUUUGACUAACACUGAGAUCAGUGUUUGGGUUGAAGUUUCUUCAAAUUAUCUAAAUUAACUGGUAGAGUUAAACUGUCUGGAGAUUGAUAUCCUUGUUUCCAUGCUUAUUUUUUGGCUUGUUUUUCAUUCAUUCAAUAUUUAGAGGGACCUCAUACAGCGCCACUUUAAAAAGACUAAACUGUCCCUUUGAAUAUUAAUGCAAGCUAAGCAGAGACAUGCUACUAUUUGAAGUUUUUACUUCUUUAUCCAGGCAAGCGACCAACCUGUGUUUAAGCCUGAAGGGUAUCGAUCUCCGGUUUUUCAAUCUGGAAGGCACAAAGUGUCGUUGGCCAAACCUUUAACUCCAGAUGUUAAAACAAUCAGCUCCCUGGAGGUGCAGAAGAAGGAUAAACCAUUUGCCUGUAACACAGUGGAGGACAUUUACAUCAAGUUUUUUAUCAUUGGUGAAGUCCAGGGCACUGCAGACGUGAUGUAUCUGGUAUGUAAGCUAUUUAUCAGUGCAGUAACUUUUAAAAACAGACAAACAAAAAAUACUGUGCUUUCAAAGCUAGGAGGUGCUACUGUUCUUCUGUGUCAUUAAAUUGGGCAGGUCUUAUCCAGAGGAGCUAUUGUGAUGCAAGGAAUUGAGCAGAUUGAAGUCCAGGAUAAACUAAGUAGGAGGAAAUUCUCUUUUAUUGUGCAGUCAUAAAUUAAUGUGAAACUAUGAACCAACUUUAGCAUGCAUGCUUUGAACUACAUGAAUCAGCUAUAAGCUGUUUUGUAAUAUGUUUAAAUUGUUUUCCUGUUUCAGUGACUGAGGGUCAGAUGUCCUUUAAGUUAGCAGUGUCUCCAGAUAUGACCCCAGAGGUUCAAGUUGUGGCGUACACCGUUCUCCCCAGUGAGACGGUGAUUGCCCACAGCGCUGCGUUCACCACCGAGAAAUGCUUCAGUCACAAGGUCAGUGUGCAGGCUGAUGUAGGUGUUAGGGGAUGUAAUGGUAGAGGUCAAUACAAUGUUGUGUCACAUUAACGGUACUUGUUUUCUGUGUGUUAGGUGUCACUGGAGUUUUCCCCAUCUUCAGCAGUCCCAGGAGAGGCCAACACUCUGCAGGUGACCACCCAUCCAGGCUCUCUGUGCGGCCUGAGUGCUGUCGACCAGAGCGUUCUCAUCAAGGAGCCCGGGAAAACUUUGGACACAGACAAGGUAAAGACUGAAAUCAACCAGAUGCCUUUUGGUCUUCUUUUAGGACCAGGCAACAUCAGAACAGAUGGAAACCUCUUUGAUUCUUACAAAGCCAUGGUUGGCUUAAGGCAGCCAUCCACUGCACCCUGCUAUUUGCUUUUUGACAGCAGGAACUUUUCCCAUAGGAACCCCUUUGAAGAAUUCAACCUAUUUUGACUGCAGAAACAGAGUCUAAAUACUGACUUUGAUCCACCCCUCAAAAAGUCCCUGCCUCAGGGAGGGUAUAAUGAGUGUUGUUUCACAUAAGACAUGUAAAAUCACUUUAUCCCACCUUGUGUGGAAGUUUAAAGUUAUCCCUUCCUCCCCUACCCAUCCUGAAAACUCUCAUAAAUUAGAUUUUUUAUCAAGAGAGAAAAAGAGGAAGGCAUGGAGAGCCACACAAGGUUCCCACACAAGAAUACAGUGUUCAAAGAGACACAAACAAUCAACAAUAGUACAUGGAGACGUAUAAAAUUUAGAAGAUACCCUGUUUACAUCCUUGCAUAUUUACUGAGUCCUCAGGUACCAGAUCAAGAAAAGAAAAACGUGUAGAUUCAGGCCUGGUAUAUACAUACCCGGUUAUUUUUAAAACAGAGACAUAAACCAUCAUUUGCACCCUUCGUUUAGAGCCAAACAGAGAAUUUGCACCGAAAAAUGAUGCUUUAUAAAAACUCUGGCCAAAGUGGAGAUUUCAGAAAACUCUGUUUGCACAUUUGCAUGUAAACAGAGAAAAACAGAGAUCUGGGUAACCGACGGCAGAUUAUGUGCAGGAAAGAAGGAAGGGACGUUGUUGCUGCUAUGCAAGAUUCUGAUUGGCUAACGUGGGCUUGAGCUUCUCACUACACUGCUACCCACAUGUUUGAUAUGCUCUUGACGGCAUAUAUACAUGGGUUAGUGUAAAUGAAAACUUUUCUGAAAAAGUAGUGGUGUGCUUUCUUUUUUUUUUUCUUUUUUUUGUAAACAGAGAGGGUGAAAUGUUUAUGAAAAUAGCCAGUCGUAGUCUCAUGCACAUGCAUUCGCGGUCGGCACACACAGAUUGUUAUCCAUACUCAGGGAUUUUUGACGUAAUUAUUUUUUCAUUUACCAUGUUGCUUCGGGGAUGUAAACAUAUAUAUUUUAACUAGAACUCUAACCUAUCAAUCGAGGACAGGGUAACCCACUGAAGCUGUGGUUGUUCACUCCACAGACCUGCCACACUCUCAGCUUGAGCUCCUUAUAUACCCACUACAGACUAAGACUGAUUCUGGGUGGAAAUUUGACUGAGUAGUAGCUAUCAGGAGAGUACAGUCACUCCUUAAUCAAUUGACAUUCAUAAAGUUAUUCAUGCCACUUCAAUCAAAUCCAGGGUUUUCCACAGUGUUCAUGAAUCAGGAGUAAAGUUUUUUUUUAUUACCAAUGAUGUUUAUGUGUAAGUCUACGCAUACAUUUACCAACAUGUUACGAAUGAAACCCAUUAAUAGUACAGACUGUGGGUCCUAUGACUAAACUUUGUGGCACGCCUAUUGUAAUGUUGACAAAACUGGAGCACAGGCCACUGAGCUGCACAUACUGAAUGUAGUUAAGCCAGUCAAUGGAUUGGUCUGAGAGGCCUUUACCUCACAAUCUGUGACAUUAAAUGUCACUGUUAACAGUACCAAAUGCCUUGGAGCCAUUGAUGGAAAGUGCUGCGUGAUAAUUUUGAUAGUAAGCUAGAAGUAACUGCACAGCAGCAUUGCAUUGUGGGAGAGGCAAAAUUGUCCAAACUAGGUAAAGGAGCCCACAUAUUACACACAUUAAUGUGCUGAGAGGGUGAAGGUUGCUUUGCACACUUAUCAAAUCCUUGAUACAAAAGGAAAUUGGACAACUUUGUAAUAUUUAUAUUUCAAACUGAUCGGGGGAAAAAAUGAAAACUAUCUAAUUGAAUUGUCUGAUAUUUCAAGUGGAAAACCACAUCACACCACUUUUUUAGCUGACAUUCGACAGUAGCUAACAAUAGUUUCCUUAUGCUCUCUAGCAUUAGCUCAGAUUUAAACACCAGAGGCUGCUGGUGUUUGCUUACCAUCCAGGUAGGUUUGCAAAGGACCCGAACCACUCCACUGACUCCCUCUGACAGGAAAAAUAUUUCUCCUGAAGGAAACUCCUUUUUGCUGCUCCAGGAUUGUAACCAUCCCUUUCUUUUCAGAUAUUCAAUCUGUUGCCUGUUAAAAAAGCUUCUCCUAUUCCACACGAAGUUGAAGAGGAUCAAGGAUGCUUCCAGAUGAGAUAUAGAAGAUCAAUUUGGCCGUACCCACGCCGUGCCUCUGAUGAUGCAUACAACGUUUUCAAGGUAGUUUUUACACUAUAUUUCAGUGCUAAAAUUUUAUUUGUUUCAUAAACCUUCACUCUUUUUUGUUUUUGCUCAAUUAUCCAGAAUGUUGGAUUGAAAAUGGCGACCAAUUUGUUCAUUAGAACACCUACCUGCAUCAGAUUCAGAGGAGAGGAGUUCCACCGCGGCUAUGAUGGUAAGCUUUCACAUGUCAGUACUCCUUAGUAUGAGAUACCAACUUUUGUAACUGGUGCACAGGACCAGUCUUUAGAGCUGUCAUAACUUAUAGCUCCAAGUGGCACGUAAGGAUGCACCUCAGGCGUCAGCUCUGCAUGUGCACUCAGUCUCUGAUGAUGGUUUCUUGUAGGUUGUCUUUUCUCAAAUCUGGAGACGUUUUUAAUUUCUGAUAAAAUAUUUUGUGGUUUCUUUACAGGUCCUGUUUUCCGUCAUACAAAUAGUCCAAGGUGGGGGAUGAGAUUAAACAGUUCUCCUCGAGUGAUGAUGAAAUCAAGAGUGUUAGGAGCUGCACCAGAAGCUGCACCUGUAGAGACAGUCCGCAGUUUUUUCCCUGAGACUUGGAUAUGGGACCUGGUGGAUGUUGGGUAGGUUUCCAUCACUUGACGGCAAACUGUAUCAGAGAUUUUCUAACUUUUGUACAUGAUUGUAUGAUGUAUGAUUUUCCAGUAAGAUGUUUUUGCCCUAUUUAACACUGCACUCAUUGUAAAACAGCUGAGUUCUUCUCUGUAUAAAAUGUUAGAAUCGCCCCUUGAAUGUGAAGAUAAGUGGUACAUUUCUGGUAUGAAAUUUUUGUUUCUGAGGUCCCUGCUCCUCCAGCUCUAAGAAGAGGCAUGUGUGUUUCUGCUCAUUCAGAGAGACUGGAACAAUAGAUGUGCCCCUCACCGUCCCUGACACCAUCACCACCUGGGAGACGGAGGCUUUCUGUUUGUCUCCUCAAGGUUUCGGCUUGGCUCCUCGUAAAGAGUUCACUGUCUUCCAGCCCUUCUUCCUGGAGCUCAGCCUGCCUUACUCCAUAAUCCGAGGGGAGACUUUUGAGCUGAAGGCGACUGUCUUUAACUACAUGAGCAGCUGCAUCAUGGUAAUUAAUGCCGGAAAUAAAGUUUAUAAAAAUUAAAGUAAAACUGCGUGUCUUAAAAAAAUAAAAUCCAGUAAAGCUAAAACAAAACAAGGCUCUUCAGAUAUAUGUGUAAAAUAAAGAAGUUCAUCACCCCUGUGUGGUAGAGGAGAUGAUAAUGGAAAAGUCUUCUUUUGUGCUGCUGUAACAACUUGCUUGUAAUUUUUUCCCCAGAACGGCAUCGAUCAGACUGUUUUAUUAAAUUCUGUUAUUGAGGUGUCUUUUCAGAUGAAGAGCUCUUCAAAGCUUUAAAAAUAGUCUGUUUUAAACUCUUUUAUCUUGAUGACUUUUUACAAUUAAUUUAUAAAAUAUGAAUUUGUCUCUUUUGAACAGGUUACCGUGACUCCAACCCCAUCUUUGGAUUACACCCUCACCCCCCUCUCUGGUGACCAGUACACAUCGUGUUUGUGUGGCAAUGAGCGCAAGACCCUCAGCUGGAACAUGGACCCCUCAGCUUUAGGUGAGGGUCAGGCUUUUGUUCCCACCUGUGUUGACAAGUUAAAGAUUGAAAAUAGGGCCGUUUAAAUAUGGCAGCGAGAGGGCAAUAAAACAAUGGAGAUGAAAAGGCCCAGAGAGUUGCUAUAAUGGCUAUGAUUUGUUCUUAACGGAUCUGAGCUGUAAAAACAAAUAAUGACUGGAACAAAUAUUUCAUCUACAUUGCCUUUUUGUUAUUAUUGCUAAAACAGUGUGUCACGCAAUAACAUGUCCUGCCCAAAACAGGCCAAUGAAAGCACCAUUUUAAAAAAAAGUGACCGUAAACCAAAGCAGAAACAAAACACAGAAAGGGGUCCACUGAAUGGAUUGUGGGCAUUAGUAAGCAGUUAAAAUGUGCAUUUAUUCUCGCUAACUGAUAUGUCUUAGAUCCAAUUCAUACAGCAUGUUAAAAAAACCUUCGCACUAUCUGUGUAUGACUGUGAAUGAGUUUCAUUGGCAAAGAAAGGGGCUGAUUUGGGCCCAAAUUAAUCAUUCAUGGAUUUACAUAAAUUUUUGUGCAGACAAUAUUGACAUGCUGUUUACUUUGAACUCUUCAUGUAUGCUUUGUUAUUUACAUGCUGUCUCUGUAACCCUUUCCUGAAUCAGGACAAUAGAUUGCACAUAAUAACAAAUGUAUAUCAUCCUAACAUCUCAUUGAGGCUUUACAAACCAAACUAUUACUACAACAUCUACAGCAUAGAUUUUUGUUUUUUUUGCUUUGUAAAAGAUACAUUCUUUUUAUACCAGUAAAAUCCAACAGUGAGAUGUAAAGACUAAAGAGGAGUUUGUUUUUUGUAUUUUUAGGUGUUAUGAAUGUGACUGUGAGCGCCGAGGCUGUGGCGUCCCACGCUUCCUGUGACAAUGAGAUUGUGAGCGUCCCAGAGAGAGGUCGCAUCGAUGUGGUCACCAAAUCCCUCAUAGUAAAGGUUAGCACCUUGAAACUUUAUUCCAUAUAAAAGAAGGAGACAGCUCUUAAACAUGAAACCAAAUCCUCUAUGGCUCCCUGAAUGACUGGCUGCAGUUAAGGUCAUAAGAUACAUGUCAACAGUUUUCAUUUUAAAAAGGUUUUCUGUCAUUAUAGUUAGGUGAUUGACAGCUUUGUCGACAAAUGAGGCUGCUGUAGAGCUCUAUAUCCAGGAUCAGUCGGGGACUGAGGAGGAACAGAGAGAGGAAGCAUAACAAAAAGCUAGAUCUGCAUUCAGGGUGGCAAAAAUCUAUUUAGACCUUGCCUUGACUUGCCAGCAGAAAUUAUUUUAUUUAACUUGGAUCAGCUCUUCUUUUAAGGGUAACAGUUUUAUCCACAGCAUUUUGUCAAAAACAGGAACUCUGAUACAAACAUUGUUUUCUCGGCCCUCAGGCUGAAGGAACCGAAGUGACAAAAACCCACAACUGGCUGCUUUGUCCAAAAGGUCUGUGUGGUUUGUAAAAAGAUCAUCAACAUCCCAAUCUUAUCAUGUCAUUGUAAAUUAAGAUCUUUAAGUACUGAGUUUUUCAGUUUAUCUCAAUGAAGGUUUUGUUCUCUGUCAACAGAUGAGGCUUUGACAGAGGAAGUAGACAUACAGCUCCCUGAUAAUGUGAUUGAAGGAUCUGCGCGUGCGCUUGUUUCUGUCCUGGGUAAAGGGAUGUCUCUCAUUUGAGUGAUCUACUAGUGCUCGAGUGGUGCUUCUUUUCAACAUGGGAUGCCUUCCUGAAGAGACAGUAGAAAACUGUGUUUUUGUGCAGGUGAUAUCCUGGGUCGAGCUCUGAAGAACCUGGAUGGGCUUCUGCAAAUGCCAUAUGGAUGCGGAGAGCAGAACAUGGCCCUUCUGGCCCCCAACAUCUACAUCCUCCAAUACCUGAAAAACACCCAGCAACUGACCCCAAAAAUCAUGGAGAAGGCUUCUAACUUCCUGACCAGUGGUGUGUGUCUGCAGUUUUAAUAUCGUAGACAAACAAAAUAAGAAACUCCACCAACCAAGAUAAAACUGAUAGUACUAUGACUUCAACUUUUUCACCUCUGUGCUUCCCUUCAGCCAAUAUUAAACUCAUUCAUAGCAACAAAGUUUAUGUAAAAAUGCAGAAUCUACAUUACCACACCUGGACCUCAGUAAAAUCUGAUCCGAUGUGUAAAUGUUUAAGUGAUAAUAGCAGGUAUUUCUUCCUCUGUCACAGGCUACCAGAGACAGCUGAACUACAAGCACAGUGAAGGUGCUUACAGCACGUUUGGAACGGGAUCAGGAAACACCUGGUGAAAAUAUUUCUGAAUCAUAAUUGGAUGUUUGCUUAAAUAAUACACUGAUGUUUCUGCAUAAGUUUAAAGGCUUGUAUUUUGUGCUGACUGUCAGAGUAUUUGAAAUAUGACCACUUAUGUAAUCCUGGAUAUGAGUAAAGUCAGGGGGUAGUCCAGUGAUCCCUCAGGGGUGUUAUGUUGGUUUCAAAGAGACAUUUUCUCGACAGUUUAAUGACUGAUGUGUCUGUUAGAGUUUUUUUAAGUUUUCUGACAGUUAGGCCACAAAGUUAAACUCAGUCCAUAUAUGGAAGCUGAUCUCAGGGUCAGCCCAUAUCAACUUAGAGCUCUGUCAUUUAUCUUUUACACAUCAAAACAGGAGUUCUUUAUUAACUGCUUUAGCCUGCCGACUCCUUUGCAGACCACUCUGUCAAAUGUAUUUUCACUGUUGUCUGUCAUGCACAUAAUAUAAAGGGAGGUGUGCUCUCCCAUCAUCAGGCUUUGGCAUUCAACAUACUCAUGACGAGGAGGAGAGAAAACCCCAGGAGCAGCUUUAACUGCCAGAUAAAACUUGAAUGCCAAACAAUAUUGUGUCUAAUGUGGCCCUGACUAGAAACAAAAUUGGGAAGAAUUUAUUGGAUAUAAACUGAAUUUGAAGUUUGACCCUGUUAACUUGGAGGAGAUAAGCUUCAUGAUCUGUCAUGCAGCUUGUCAGUAGGCUUAACUUUUGGGGAGCCGUCAUUCCAUUGAUAUUUUUGUACACUGUUAUGAUACAGGCUGAAAUGAAGCUGAAAUGAACGGGUGGAUAGAUAGAAGAAGUGAUUAAUAUGAAAUAAUGAACACUUCUUAACCAAUCAAAAACAAGUAUUCAUCCAGACCAUGUGAUUCUGUGUUUGUUAUCCUCAGGCUGACGGCUUUUGUGUUGAGAUCUUUUGCCAGAGCUCAGAAUUUUGUCUUCAUUGACCCAAGACACAUCAGACAGUCAACAUCCUGGCUGAAAAAUCAGCAACGGGAAACCGGCUGCUUUGUAAAGUCUGGGAAACUUUUCAACAACAGAAUGAAGGUAAUAUUGUGUUGUUGUUUUUUGUUUUCAUCUUUUAAACUGAACUUUUUGCACUAAUUUAACUGAACUUUGUCCACCACACCUUCACACUCACUUUUUCUUUGUGUGCUAAUAAAUUUUUCAUGUACACAGGUGAAAUGAAUGAAUGAACAAGUGGAGAUGUCUCGUGUUGGAGGGCUGAUAUUUCUAAUUUUUUUUUAUCUUUUUGGAGUGAAAUAAUCCAAUGCAUAGUUAAAGGCAUACCUAAUCUUCUUUAUAUUUCUGAACACCUUUUUUUUUUUACAUAGUAAUAUUCAUUAACAGUAUAAAUUGCUACAUAUCUUGUCAAUUAUGUGUUCGCUAGUGCAGUUAUAAUCUUUGGUUACCAAAUUUUCGUGUGGUGUCAUUGACACUGAUGUUUUGUGAAAAAAACAUCAGAGAUGCUAUGCUACAAGCAGCAAAUACAAACUAUGUAGGCUGGAUCCUCGGUCGCGUUCCUAUGCUCACCUGUUUUGUUGGGAACCCUUCUGCAUCAUCAGCAGGUAUCUCAGGGUUGCAGAUUUUUCACCCCUUAACCAGUGCACCUUGCCUGAGUGGGGCUGCGGAGGCUGGUUAGCCAUUGCCUGCAGAAGGGUUCCAACUUUGGGCCCUCUUCGGCCACAACCAUCUCGAGCUGGAUUCUGCCAUUGUGGCUAUGUCCCUGGUGACUUUCUUCAGCUGUUUGGGCUCCAAACCAAUUCUCUGGAGGAAGUAGCACACCUAUUUUGCUGGGAACCCACGGCAGCCGACCUCAAUGGGGAAAAUGGUUUCAUGCCACCCUUUUUAGAGCUGCCUUAUCAAUCAGGUCUUGGUACUUGGCUUUUUUCAGAUGGUGGGAUGUGGCUAGCCUCUCCUCCCAGGGCAAGGGUAAGUUCUGCCACUAUGAUGGUUUUAGUGCUCUUGGAUAGGAGGACCAGAUCUUGUAGGAGGGAUGUUGCCACUACAUCUUGAGGGAAGAUGAGUUUCCUCUUCAGGUCCAUGUUCAACUCCCAGCCAGAGGCUUUCUGCAGGAUGAAAGGUAGGUUUUUAGCUGUUGUUCUGCUCUUAGGGGCCUUGCCACCCUCCCUCAGGAAUCCUAUGGCAUUGGGUGGUUGGGUGUGGUUGUUGUUCGCCUUAGUCCUCUGCUGCUACGUUCACUUGGCAAUCUCCAUGAGGACCUUGUCAUGCCUCCACCUGUAGCGUCCCUCUGCUAAUGCUUUAGGACAACCAGUCAGAUUGUGAUUCAGUGUGCAGUAGGCCGCUCCAAACUGUUUGCAAGAUGGAUCUUCCUCUGCACCCCAAAUCUUUAGGUUGCUUGGGGUUGGCAGCAGAUCAGCCACUGCUUGUAGGAGGAAAGACAAUUCCCCUGGUCAGUUUGCCAUAGGUCCUUCCAGGACAGUGGUUGCUCCAGUGCCUGGUCCUACUGUGUCCACCUACCUUAGGAAGCUAGCCCUAUUACUAGUGCUCUUUUGGCUCUGGCGUUGGCUUUGCUCUACCUCUUUCUGCUAUAGUUUCCAAGACCUAAGCGGCCUUGACAUACCAUGCCGACAAUCUCCUGAUGUCACUGUCUGCUGAGGCCUCCACUACCUGCCGCACUUGAUGUUCUUACUUGCAUGCCUCACUUUCCCAUCUUCAGAUAAGCAGAGUGUACUGACUGCCCUCGACUUGGCAGCUUUGAAUUCCUCAGCCACCGAUGUUACUGGUAGGGAAAGCUUUGAGGUCUUGCUGUAAAGAUUGACUGAGCUGAAAGAUGGAGGGACGCCCAGCCAUUUCAGCAAGAGCUUGCUACAGAGCCUCUCCAUCCCUUCUACUUGGGACAUGGGUAAAUCAUAGAGCAAAAAGGGCCACUGCAGUUGAGAUAUGAUUCCAUAUUGAAAACACCACACCUGGAACCUCCCCAGCUGUUGUCGAUCGCCUGAAGCCAUGUGUUAAGCUGAGCUUUGGUACUGGUGAGGUUAUUGUUGUCCCUAAGGGAGCUGUCGUAGGCCUUUCCAAUGCCCCUGAUGACUUACUCUCAAAUUCUUGGGAUGUCUGAGCCUUGGAUGCUAAAGAUGUUGUGCCGUCCUCUGCUUUCGGGCCCCUGCACUGUGAUCUUCCUACUUUGAGCAGUAGGUCUAAUGCAGCUAUGAAUACGGCCACUGAAAUCGUACAUCCUGCCAUGACGCCCUUCUAUUGUCAAGUUAUUCUUUACAAAUGUCACUUUUAAUCAAGAACAUGAUGGGAUCUGCUCCAGUUAAACAUGUCAUCAAUAUUUUUAUUCUUGUAGGCAUGAAUUGUUGAUCAUGUGUUUUGUCUAAGCUGUAGUGCAACUUUCCACCAUUAGCUAGGACUGUAGCACUGGUUAAUGACAACUGCCUCAAUGCUGUUAAUGCUCAACUCUCCAGAUGUAAACAAACACACAAGGACCAAUCACAUGGCAGAUGACAGAUGUGGUUUGCUGGUCAGACAUUAAUAUCAUCACAAAUGAUAAAGAAAGAAACGGUUUUUGAACAUCCCCAGGUUAUAGUUAAACAUUGUGUAUAAUUACGGUUUUAUGAAAAAAAGUUAAACCAAGCAGAGCUCCUUACCAUACUUAAAUAGCGAAAUAAAUGUGUAAAAAUAAUACCAGUCAACCUUUUUCAGCUUUGAUUGAAAUAUGGACUUCAGACUAAAUGAAAUGAAGAAGUAUUAUUAGGUCAUAAAGAGCCUGUUAGUAGUUGGAGUGAUGUCUUUGUUUUUCAGAAUAAUUCUCCUAUUCCAGCAUCCACAGCUGUUUUACUGACAGUCACAUGAAUGAGAGAUUUUAGUCCGGAUGUUGGAGGGUCAGUGAUGUUAACUUUCUGUCAUAAAACUUCCUCUGUACAGGGUGGUGUGUCUGAUGAAGUGACCCUCAGUGCGUACAUUAUUGCUGCCUUCCUGGAGAUGAACUCGUCUGUUAGUGUGAGUAGACUCUUAAAGGACAAACAGCUCAGGUCUUUUUCUUGUUUUUCCUAGUUUUGUAAGAGGAACUUGUCCUGCUUAUUAACUUAAAACCAUUGGAUGUACAUCCUGUAAAAACGCAGUGAGACAUAGAGUUUUGUUCACUUGUAACCUUUUUAUGUUUUUUCUUGAAUUUACAAUGAAAGUUCUUUUAAAAAAUGUAAAUCCAUUUCACGACCCUGCUCUUGAAUUGAAGAUGUGCUGGAUACAAUUUUAAUGAGUUUUCCUGAGAAUGGUAGAAAUGUUUUUUAUGGUAAAGUGUUCAAAAAAGUUGUGAAGGGCUCAGUCCUUUCAGGAAAGUGAAGAUUUUAAGGUGAUUGAUCACAGGAUCCUGUAGUGGAAAAAGGUCUGUCCUGCCUUAGAGCGUCCCUGGGUGACCUCAGCAACACCUACGCCACGGCUCUGAUGGCGUACGUCUUCACUCUGGCAGGAGACACGGACACCCGAGCUCAACUUCUGAGGCAUCUUGACACAGUUGCGAUACAUGAAGGUCGGUAACCAGCUCAAAUAAUUCCCUCUGGUAUCAUCCCUGAGCAUGUAGCUCACCCAGUGUCUGUUUCCCUGAUUGUGGCUGAUUUUAGGAGGGUACCUCCACUGGUCUCAGACAGCAACAGACACCUCGUCCUCUCUGUCUAUGGAGAUCAGCUCUUAUGUGCUGUUGGCCAAACUCAGCGUCCCUCCGUCUGUCGAAGAGCUCGGCUACUCCACCCGCAUUGUCAGAUGGCUGACCACCCAGCAGAACCAUUAUGGAGGCUUUUCCUCCACACAGGUACCACAGAAACAAAGUAAACUGGAGCAAAUAUGGGACAGAUAUGAGAGACAGAUAAUGUUCUUCAAAAUGUCUGUUUCUCUGAAAAAUGUGCUCUCUAAAGGCUCUGAUCAGGGAAUUAUCUUACUUUAAAGAUUAGACAAAAUGGAGAAUAUAUUGACCUAUAAACACUGAUCUCAGUUUGUGUUUGUGUGUGUGUUUAAAAAUAAUGGGCUAUUGUCAAUAUCUUUAUGAAUUUUGAGCAUCCUUACGUCUUUGUCAAACAGAGAGCUGCAAUCUCUCCAUCAUAAAAUAACACUUCUCCUUCAUAAUAACAUUUCUGUUUGUGUGUUUUAGGACACAGUGGUGGCUCUUCAGGCUCUGGCUCUUUAUUCCACUCGCGUGUUCAGUCCAGAGGGUUCAAGUACCGUGACUAUCCAGGCUCCCAGCGGUCAGUUGUCAUUUGGUGUAAACCCGGACAACAAACUUCUCUACCAGGAGGAGGUGCUGAAGGACGGCGAAGGAAAGUACAGCCUGGAAGUGAGAGGAACUGCAUGUGCUUCAAUGCAGGUUAGUGAACAUGCUGUUCUGUUUUUUGAGGGAGGGCUUUAGCCCAGGGGUGUGUCCACAGAAUUGGCCUAAGGUGGGCCCAAAACAUUGUAUUUGGCCACCCCUGAACCUUCACCUAAUUUCUAGUUAGAAUCGUAGAAAUCUGUGAAGUUAUCAAGAAAACAUGUUUUUUGGACAUUUUUAUUGUUUAUAUAUUGAAGAGCACUGUGUUUUCUAAUAUUUCUUAUGUGAUACACAAGCGCAUGUGAUUUUCACAGAUGAUUGCUUUGUUGGCUGUAUUGUUGCUGGGGUUUUUUUUAUGUUUUAGAUUUUUAACAUGUGCCAAAAAUGCAAAUGUGGUAAAAAGCUUCUCAUGCUCAGAGUUCACUGGUUUGAGAGGACAGGGUUUGGCUAUUUAUCUUCAUAUUGAUAAAGGAAAUGCCCUGAUCUGUUUAUCAGAUUUCUCUUCACUACAACAUCCCAACUCCUACUGCUGGCACCACGCUCAGAGUGGAGGUCAAACCAGAAGCCAAAUGUGACAGCUCCUCUAACAGACGCAGGCUGACCCUGAAAACCAAAACACUGUGAGUUUAAACACUGGCUCAAAUCUGGCCUUACUGUCAUCUUCCUGUUACACCGUCUCUCAUUGUUAGGGCUCUAUUUUGGUGCCUCGCCGGAGACGUGCCGCAAGCGCAGAGUCAAUCAGAUCCGCCGCGCUGACAAGGCGUUCCCAAGCACAUUUUGGUAUUUUGGUGAGCCGCGCAGCCCGGCGUAAGUAUCCCCCCUCCCUAACUCAGCUCCUCCCGGCAGCAUAAAUCAUAGAAGGGGAGGAGAGAGGGCUUAUAGGGGUUUAACACAGCCGAGACCUGUUUUCACCAAUCACAUAAGCUCCUCUCCUCGCCUUUAAAUCCGCCACCGGCGAGGCGUAUUACUAUUUUCAUUAAGUAGUCAAAGAGAUCAAGAGAUGUCUGAAGACAGCUAUGCCACACGAUGGCGACAGAGGGCAGCUGCUCAACAAGUGUCCUCCCCACUCUCUCAUCUGAGCACAGAUAGAUUUGGUGUGCGUAAUGUUGGACCCACUGGUAAGACAAUCACCCUUUUCCACAAAUAAAGACACUCUCAUAAAGUUGCUCAUAUUCAAACCUCACGUGACAAAGGUGGGUUUAGCGCACAGAUCACAACAUAAACUCCAAAAAGGCAUUAAAAUCGGAACCAUCUGUGCGUAAAUGACGCAUCGCGCUCCGUGGCCUGGCUCUUUCUUUCAUAGAUGUUGGCAUAUAAAAUAAAUUUGGCCCACAAAACUGAAUAUUAUAAUAUCCGAAUGUCGGCUUAAAGUAGAUAACGCAACUGAGCACUGAAACAAAUCAUCUGUUCAGCCGCAGCAGCAAGCAAGACGGACAGAGGACACGGAGACGUGUCCAGGUCGAGCUGUGCGAGAAAUAAGAGGAAGAAAGAAAAGGAGGGAGACACAUUAAAUAUCUUGUUAACUUCAUCAUGUGUGUUUAUUUACUAGAUAUUUAAUUUAAUUUGAUGCAGUUUCAGCUGUAUUGAUUCGGUCAGGUUGUGUGCCCAAACGCGUGCCAAACGCGUGCCAAACGCGCUCAUCAGAUCAGAUAUAGAUCAGAAUAUAUCUAUAUAGAUCUAAAUGUAUGUGCUGACUCAGAUUAAUAGUUGUUGAUGAUUAUUUAUUGCACUGAAAUGUGCCUGACACUGUGGAAACCUGCCGGUGAGGCAUCAGUGACGUAUGUCGAUACGCCGCCGGUCUACCAAAAUACUACAAGACCAGCUGCGUUCCGCCUUGCGCUGAAAGCUGACCAGGUUUGAAUCGGCGAGCUUUCAGCGCACGUUACACGCCGGUGGCGAGCACGAAAAUGUCACUGCGCCAGCUGAUUCUGUCAACACCUCCCCCUGCCACGCCACCACGCCCAGCUUGGCGGAUCUCGGCUCGCCUCCGUGCGACUCAGUCCACGAAAAUACCAAACUCGCCUUACGCUGGGCUCCGCCAGACGAAAUACAACUGCGCGGGGCUCGCCGCCUCACCGGCGCGAACGAAAAUAGAGCCCCCCGUGUUCUGUGAUGCACCUGCACUGCAUAUGGUGACGGUACUGUCAAACAUGGCAUCUUACUCCUUUUUAUGGCAACAGAUUAAAAUUAAACUGGUUAGUAAAACUCAACAGAAGCAUUGCAUUAUCUAUGUGGGCAUUGUCAGUGAGUUGUUAACAGUUAUAACACAUAAAAAUACUUGGCCUUGUAAGUUAUGAUAAAAUGCUUUAUAAUUUGUUAUUAUUAGUGCUAUAAAGCAUUAUGAUCAUUUAUGAGUGUUUAUAACUAUAGUAAUACAGUGCCAUAACGUGAUUAUAAUGCACUAUACAUAUAUUUAUAAUGCACUACAAAGAUAGGUGUCAAAUAAAGUGUUAACAAACUGAACACUAAAAAAUAAGUAAGCAUGACAAGAACUAGUAAGCACAGAAACAGAAAUCAUGCUUGAGAAAAAUGUAUUUCACGUACAGUCUGAUUGUGAAGUUUGCAGGCUUUAUGACUUAUAGUUACUUUAAUUCACUUUUAUGUCAUGAUACACAUCAAAGAAAGUUGUACUUUAUAUCAGCAUUCAUGGACUGACUGCUGUAUAAAGGCACAUGUAAUAGCAAAAGAAAGUAAAAUUGAGAAAAGGAGGUGUUAUCAGUAACUUACUUUUGAUGUUUUACUACAGAUACUUUGGUGAAGAGAGGACUACAAACAUGGUGAUUGUGGAUCUCAAAAUGCUCUCUGGGUUUGUCCCAGACCCCGAGUCUUUGAAGAAGGUAGACUUUUUUGAAACAGCAAUCUCAAACCUGAUCAUUCAUUAUUGUCCUGAUGAAGCUGAUGUUAAUCCAGCUGACUGCUGUCUCCACACAGCUCAAACGAGCCCUGCUGGUGGACCGUGUCGAGGAAAAGAAAGAUCAUGUUGUGGUGUAUCUUAAUGAGGUGAGAGGAAUCACAGUGAGUAAAAAGGACAGUACUCAGAUGUGCAGAUUUUUUGCUAAUAACAUUAUCUUUUUGUCUGUCAUCAGUUACCAAAGGACGUAUCCAUCAGUCAUGAGUUAGAGCUCAUACAGGAGCUCCCAGUGCAGAACCUGAAGCCCGCUGUCGUCCGGAUCUAUGAUUACUACCAGCCAAGUAAAUGAGCUGUACUUUAUACACACUUGGGGCUCAAUUUUCGUGUACACCAGGGACGCGGCAGAGGGUGGCGGACCCCGCGCAGUUGUAUUUUCGUCUGGCGGAGCCCGGCGUACAGCCAGUUUGGUAUUUUCGUGGCCUGAGGCGCCACGUGGUGGCGUGGCAGGGGGAGGUGUCGACAGAAUCAGUGGGCGCAGUGACAUUUCCCUUCUCCACCAGCGUAUAAAGUGUGCUGAAAGCUCGCCGAUUCAAACUUGGUCAGCUUUCAGCGCAGGCAGAGCGCAGCUGGUCGAGUAGUAUUUUGGUAGACCGGCGGCGUAGAUGGUAGAUCCGCAUACGUCACCGAUGCCUCACCGGCAGGUUUCCACAGUGUCAGGCACAUUUCAGUGCAAUAAAUAAUCAUCAGCAACUAUUAAUCUGAGUCAGCACAUACAUUUAGAUCUAUAUAGAUAUAUACUGAUCACUUAUCUGAUGAGCGCGUUUGGCACGCGUUUGGACACACAACCUGACCGAAUUAACACAGCUGAAACCGCAUUAAAUUAAAUUAAAUAUCUAGUAAAUAGACACACAUGAUGAAGUGAACAAGAUAUGUAAUAUGUCUCCCUCCUUUUCUUUCUUCCUCUUCCUCUUAUUUCCCGUGAAGCUUGACCUGGACAUGUUUCUGUGUCCUCUCCCCGUCCUGCUGCAGCGGCUGAGCAGAUGAUUUGUUUCAGUGAUCAGAUGAGUUAUUUACUUUAAGCCGACAUAUGGAUAUUAUAAUAUUCAGUUUUGUGAGCCAAAUUUAUUUUAUAUGCCAACAUCUAUGAAAGAAAGAGCCAGGCCACGGAGCGCGAUGCGUCAUUUACACACAGAUGGUUCCAAUUUUAAUGCCAUUUUUGGGAUUUAUGUUGUGAUUUGUGUGCACAACCCACCUUUGUCACGUGAGGUUUGAAUAUGUGCAACUUUAUGUGAGUGUCUUUAUUUGUGGAAAGGGUAUUUCUCUUACCAGUGGGUCCAAACUGACACACACCAAAUCCAUCUGUGCUCAUAUGAGAGAGUGUGGAGGACGCCCAAUGCAGCGCUUACAGUGACACUUGUUGAGGGGCUGCCUCCUGUUGCCAUCAUGUGGCAUAACUGUCUUCAGACAUCUCUUGAUCUCUUUGACUACUUCACGAAAAUAGUAAUAUGCCUCGCUGGUGUCGGAUUUAAAGGUGAGGAGAGGAGUUGAUGCUAUUGGUCAAUACAGGUCUCGGCUGUGUUAAACCCACUCCACGCCCUCUCUCCUCCCUCCCUACAACUUACGCCGCUGGGAGGAGCUGAGUUAGGGAGGAGGGAUACAUACGUGGGGCUGCGCCGCUCACCAAAAUACCAAAUUGUGCUUGGGACGCCUUGUCGGCGCGGCAGACCUGACUUGCGCCCCGCAUGUGCUGUGUCGCCAGCGAGGCACGAAAAUAGAGCCCUUGGUGUUUGAUAUCAAAUCCUAAAACUCAAAGUUAUGUCUCAGAUGUUCAGCGCCAGGAUGGAAAACAUCACGUAUUAUCGCUUUAGUUUGAGGAAGGAAAGUAACGAAGUAAAGAAUUGUGCAGCUUUUUCGCCCACUUAACUGAUGCAAAUGAGCAAAUACAAUACCAUACUUUACAAAGCACUCACUCACACCUAAAAACUGCACUUCAGAGCAGAUAGCAUCUCUGUUAUUAUGGGAUCAUUUUAAGGCAAAAUGUGCCUCUUUUUGUACUUUGCAAAGCUUUCUUAUUUACAAACAGCAGUACUCAUUUCUGUUUAGUUUCUGGUCUCCCUCCUCCUCUAAUUUGACUUUUCCUUUUUUUCUCUUCUAGAUGACCAGGCUGAAACCCAGUACACCUAUCCCUGUGCAGGUAAUAGUCCACGACAGGGUUGAUUACUUCACAAAUAUCUUUAAAACAGCAUAAUAGGUUUGGUGUUUUUCUCAAAGACCCCUGUUUAAUUUAGGAUUGAGAAGAAAGGGGACCUUUGUGUUCUGAAAGGCAGAAAUAGUAAUCAAAAGACUCUAGGGACUUACUUGUCCCAGAGCAUUUUAUUGUAACCUUGAAUCAGUGGUGUAGUCUAGAUGAUAUGCAGGUAAAGGCUAUGGCACAUACUAGAAAAGUACGCAAAUUUCCAUAUACCUACUUGAAAAUGUGCAAAGACAUGUAACAACCAGAGUUCUGACCACAACUUCACAGCUGUUCACAGGGUUACCCUUUUCAAUUUGAUAAUGCCCUUAACUGAAGAAAUUUUGAAGGACCUGACAUUCAUAACUUUUGGUCAUAUCGCAGAAACUUUUGAUCCAGCACGUUCCUGAAUUAAAGCUGGUCUUCGUUUCUAAAGUGACAGAGCAACGAAUAGAAGUCAAGCCUGUAUGUUUUAAGGUCAGAAAAAUGUAUUAAUCUAUUAUGCUGUGUUGGAUGAGUCGCGGUUCACCUGCGUUGCUGAGGAUUGACAUGUGUAUCAAAGUCCUAUUAUUAGUGUUAUUGUUAUGUAUUACCUGAUGCAGUUUCAUGCCCAGAUUCCACACUUUGUGAAAAUAGCAGGUGAUUGUGGCGUGUGGUGUCUUUUGUGGACCCAGAAGCAGACACGGAGACAGAUUGUAAAUUAAAGAUGUAGUUCUAAUGUCCAACUUAAGGGAAAAGGCACAAGAAAAAGUCCGGUUGGCUGGCUGGCUGUUGUGUGGGCUGGAGACACUGUGGAGAAAACAGAGGAGAUGGAAGUGAGAAGGCAUACAAGGAAUUACAUGGAGCAAAAAUUACUAGCACUUCGCCGAGGAGAAGGCCGGGAGAAGCGUCUGUACCACUGAGGAGUGAAGACAAUACUCAGGCACUGAGACUGAGGGCUGCUGGCUUCUUAAAAGGGCCUUGAUUGCAGAUGCAGUGCAGGUGUGGAGUCCCACUCAGCCUCAGCGACCAGGGGACGGGAAAGUGCACUGAAACAACAGUCAAGCCAGACCAGGAACACAAGGAAAAUGGGAAGUUAAACCAAAAUAAAACAGGAAGAAGAGGCAUCUCACUACAGUACCCCCCUCUCAACGAACGCCCCUUGGUGUUCUGCCGGGUUUGUUGGGGUGAGCGGCGUAAAAGUUGUUGAGGAGUUGAUGGUCCAGGAUGAGGGAGCAGGAGAUCCAGGACCGCUCCUCCGGACCGUAACCCUCCCAAUCCACGAGGUAUGGAAGCCUUGUCCUUGAGGCCGCAUGUCUAGGAUUUGUCUCACAGUGAAGGCAGGGUGGUCGUCAAUCAUCCAGGGCGGUGGAGGGUUGCGGAAAGAGGGCUCAGGGUGCACGAGGUGACAGGCUUGAUCAGGGAGACAUGAAACGCGGGGUGAAUUUUGAGAGCUGAGGGAAGUUUGAGUCGUACCGCCGAGGGGCUAAUAAUCUCCUGGAUUGGGAAGGGACCAAUGAAGCGGGGAGACAGCUUGCGGGACUCGGUCUGCAGGGGAAGGUCACGGGAUGAUAACCAGACCAUCUGACCUGGACGAUAGUCUGGUGCAGGGGAGCGAUGGACGUCAGCCAGGCGUUUGUUGCGCUCGGCCGUCCGGGUGAGUGCGGCCUCGGCGGAUCCCCACACCUCCCGUUGGCGCCCAAUGUGCUCCCUCACUGACAGGACAGCACCCGGUUGCUCCUGUUCGGUAAACGGGGGGGCUGGUACCUUUAACAGAACAUGAAGGGAGACAUACCUGUGGCCGAGGAGGUGAGGGAGUUAUGGGCGUACUAGAUCCGUGGGAGGUGUGUACUCCAGGAUGCUGGAUGAUGGGCCACAACACACCGCGAAGUCGACUCGAGGUUUUGAUUGGCCCACUCCGUCUGGCCAUUGGUCUGCGGUUGGUAGCCUGAGUAGAGGCUAGCUGCCGCGCCCACCGCCUGGCAGAAAGCUUUCCAGACCUGGGAGGAGAACUGGGGACCACAAUCCGACACUAUGUCAAGGGGGAUACCAUGAAGUUGGAACACAUGAGACACUAUGAGAUUAGCAGUUUCUAGAGCAGAGGGGAGCUUGGGUAGCGGGACAGAAUGCACGAACUUGGAAAUCCUGUCUAUGAUGGUGAGUAGAACUGUGUUACCUUCAGAAGGGGGGAGACCAGUGACGAAAUCUAGAGCUAUAUGAGACCAAGGGUGUGAGGGCACAAGCAGAGGAUGCAGCAAGCCAGCUGGGGGUUGGUGGGAGGCUUUGCCUCAGACGGAGCAGGCAGCCACAAACACCUGUAUGUCCCGGACCAUCCCCGGCCACCAGAACUGCUGCUAAAGGAAUUGGAGGGUGCGUUGAAAUCCGGGAUGACAGGUGAGUUAAGAGGAGUGCCCCCACUGUAGGACCUGAGAAUGUACAACCUCAGGGACGUACUUCCUAUCAGGAGGGCCAGUUCCAGGGUCCGGGUGCUUCCGUAGGGCCUUGUCCACUACGGUGUCGAUCUCCCAAGAGGCGAUGAUACAGGAGGCAGGGAGGAUGGUGUCCAGUUCUCUGGGGUCCAAGGUAGCAGAGGAGUAGAUUCGGGAUAGGGCAUCAGGUUUGAGGUUGCGGGAGUCGGGAGUCGGGACGAUAGGAGAGGGUAAAGGUGAAUCUGUGGAGGAAGAGGGACCAGCGGGCUUGUCUGGAGUUGAGGCGUCAAGCGGAACGGAGGUACUGAAGGUUCUUGAGGUCAGUCCAGAUGAGGAAUGGGUGUUGUGCUUCUUCCAGCCAGUGUCUCUAUUCUUGGAGUGCCCACACAACAACCAGCAACUCACGGUCUUCAACAUCAUAUUUUCGUUUGGUGGGUGAGAAUUUCCGGGAAAAGUAGGCACAAGGAUGGAGCAUCUGGGUCUCGGGAUCCCCCUGUGAGAGGACGACCCCCACUCCAGAGUCCGAGGCGUCGACCUCCACCACGAAUUGGAGAGAGGGAUCUGGGUGUUUGAGCACAGGGGCGGAGCGGAGGCAAUGAGAGUGGCAGUGAGGACUCCAGGCGGAGAUUGAAGCUGUGGACCAGUUGAUUUGGGGAUUAUGGAUCUGCAGCCACGGGAGUCCAAGAGGGAAGCAGGAACAACUGGAUAUCCUCAUGAUGGUUUCCCGAAAGGAUGAGAGUGAGAGGAGUAGUGCAGUGGGUUAUGGUGGCUAUAACUCUGCCAUCGAGAGCGGUGACCUUACGGGUGAGGGCGCCAGAGCCAGAGGAGCUGAGGGCUGCAGAGGAGACCCGCUGAAAGUGGAGGAUGAGGAAUCUAAACUAUGGGGAGGAGUGUUUAGUUUCUUCUCCCUACGUCUCUCCCUGAGGCGAUUAUCCACAUGUAUGGCUAAUGAAAUUAACUCCUCAAGUGAGGAUGGAUCAUCACGAGCAGCUAAUUCGUCCUUUAACUGUUUGGACAGACCACGAGAAAAUGCACCCUUUAAUUCUAGUUCCCCCAACCCACUCUCGGCCCACUUCCACUCUGUGCAGAACUCAAUAGAGAAUUCCGCCACAGACCGAGAGAUUGACAUUGUAGGCUAUUUUGGAUUUAUCCGAGGGGUAACUAAUAGGCUGCUGAUCAAAGACAAGGGCACAGUGGAGCAGGAAACCUCUGCAGCCCCCAAUCUCCCCAGCAUACGGCUCGGGAUGAGGGACAUAAGGCUCUUUGAAGACAGGAGAGGGUGAAGUGGGGGCCAUACUCACAGAGGGGGAAGACCCAGACUGCUUCGGGGGGAGCCGGGAGAGGAGUUGAUCCGCCAGUUGCGUUACUUGAACGGUGAGGCCUUGAAAGGCUUGGUUGAGGCCCUGGAGCAUGUCCUCAUGUUGACCGAGGCGAAGUCUGAGCUUUUGGAUGGCUUGUUGGUCUCUGUCUGGGUCUGCUGGGUCCAUUUUCCUGGCCCGAGUAUUCUGUGGCGUGUGGUGUCUUUUGUGGACUCAGAAGCAGACACAGAGACAGAUAGUAAAUUAAAGAUGUAAUUUUAAUGUCCAACUUAAGGGAAAAGGCACAAGAAAAAGUCCGGUUGGCUGGCUGGCUGUUGUGUGGGCUGGAGACACUGGAGAAAACAGAGGAGAUGGAAGUGAGAAGGCAUACAUUACUAGUACUUAGCCGAGGAGAAGGCCGGGAGAAGCGUCUGUACCACUGAGGAGUGAAAACAAUACUCAGGCACUGAGACUGAGGGUUGCUGGCUUCUUAAAGGGCCUUGAUUGCAGAUGCAGUGCAGGUGUGGAGUCUCACUUAGCCUCAGCGACCGGGUAAAGGGAAAGUGCACUGAAAGAACAGUCAAACCAGACCAGGAACACAAGGAAAAUGGGAAGUUAAACCAAAAUAAAACAGGAAGAAGAGGCGUCUCACCACAGUGAUCUUCCACUUACAUUAGUGUCCAUGGAUGUGGUGGUGGCAUGCAAAGGCGCAUUGCUACCUGGAGAAAGUGUCUGCGUCUCAGGUAGAAGGUUAGGAUGUAUUUUCCUGAUCUUCAGGGGGCAUUCCUAUUAGUGAGAGGGUUAAAGGGGCAUUAGCUGACAGUGUGCUUUGUCUUUUACGCACAGAGCCGCACAGCCGAGCCUUCAUGAUAAAAAGUCUGUGUUUUUGCUGAUAUGGUGAAAUUGAGUUCUUUAUUUGGUCAGAGGGCUUGGAGAUACAUUUCCUUGUCUCUGUACAUCACAACUAUACUGUUCACUGCUUUGUCCUCAUAAUCUUAGCCCUGCUGGGCUCCAAAUCCGCAGCCUGAGAGGUUACCAAGCCUUUAGCGUCCUCUCUCAGUUGACCUUGUUGUGUGCUUAUUAAACAGGAAAACAGGAAAACAUGGUCAGUUACCCUUGCAUACACUGCAUCUUACGCUUAAGACCCUGCUGUCUGGUUUGUUGGAAUAAGGUUCAUAUUCUGCAUAUGAUGGUUUGUGAUGUGUGCUGGCAAACUUUCUGCUGUUGCAACCACAUAUUGGCUCAGUGGUUGCUGGAGUGCUCUCCUUGUAAAUAAUAUUAGCCUUGGUAAUAUGUGUGUAGAUGCAGUAGUUAUAACUGUCUGUUGAAUCAAGAUGCCUCGUGGAUCCCCACCAGGUAUUUUGAUUACUGUUGUAAGGUGUAUCCAAUAAUCACCAUUGAUCUCUGUUAUUAAUUGGAGACAUUUACUUUAAUAAAACCAUUGACAGAGUUGAACAGUGCUCAGGUUUUGUUUGCCUUUCGUGCAUUUUUAUCAUUAUUGAUUUUAUUAUAUAUUUUUUGUGCAUAGAACACAACUGGUCUUUCAGAAUGUCCCCAAAUAUCUGGUAGGGGUUUCCAAGAUGGAGGGGAGUGUAUCAACUACAAAAAAACUAGACUACACCACUGCCUUAAAUAGACCCUUUUGCAUAUGUUCUCAGAAACUUCAAAAGAAAGUCCUAAUCUCUCUGUAAUUUGUAUUAAACACACUUUAAUCAGGUGGUCUUCCCUUUUUUAUGACAUCAACCAGUCUUCUUCAUUUCAUGGCUAUCAGCUGGACAAUCUAGACAACAUAUAAUAUUUUGUCAAUUUCUGUCUAAAUAAAUUGGAACCAAAAAAUUACCACUUUAAAAUAAAAAUUAAUGAAUGAAUGCAUGCUCUAACAUGUUUUUUUCCUCUUGUUUACAGCUUAAACACCUGUGUGUUUUCUUGAUGGUCCCAGGAAGAUUCAAAUAAACUUCCAUUUUGUUCAAAGUCA